This 173-nucleotide ribosomal RNA is filed under the name uncultured Variovorax sp. Its description in RNAcentral is "partial 16S ribosomal RNA". It matches the Rfam family "Bacterial small subunit ribosomal RNA", at positions 338 to 503 of the family's 1533-position model. Lineage: Bacteria; Pseudomonadati; Pseudomonadota; Betaproteobacteria; Burkholderiales; Comamonadaceae. The record is from RNAcentral.
CCUACGGGAGGCAGCAGUGGGGAAUUUUGGACAAUGGGCGCAAGCCUGAUCCAGCCAUGCCGCGUGCAGGAUGAAGGCCUUCGGGUUGUAAACUGCUUUUGUACGGAACGAAAAGGUUCUUUUUAAUAAAGAGGGCUCAUGACGGUACCGUAAGAAUAAGCACCGGCUAACUA